This 2902-nucleotide ribosomal RNA is filed under the name Klebsiella aerogenes. Its description in RNAcentral is "Bacterial large subunit ribosomal RNA". It matches the Rfam family "Bacterial large subunit ribosomal RNA". Lineage: Bacteria; Pseudomonadati; Pseudomonadota; Gammaproteobacteria; Enterobacterales; Enterobacteriaceae. The record is from RNAcentral.
GUUAAGCGACUAAGCGUACACGGUGGAUGCCCUGGCAGUCAGAGGCGAUGAAGGACGUGCUAAUCUGCGAAAAGCGUCGGUAAGGUGAUAUGAACCGUUACAGCCGGCGAUGUCCGAAUGGGGAAACCCAGUGCAAUUCGUUGCACUAUCGUUAACUGAAUACAUAGGUUAACGAGGCGAACCGGGGGAACUGAAACAUCUAAGUACCCCGAGGAAAAGAAAUCAACCGAGAUUCCCCCAGUAGCGGCGAGCGAACGGGGAGCAGCCCAGAGUCUGAAUCAGCUUGUGUGUUAGUGGAACGGUCUGGAAAGUCCGACGGUACAGGGUGAUAGUCCCGUACACCAAAAUGCACAGGCUGUGAACUCGAAGAGUAGGGCGGGACACGUGGUAUCCUGUCUGAAUAUGGGGGGACCAUCCUCCAAGGCUAAAUACUCCUGACUGACCGAUAGUGAACCAGUACCGUGAGGGAAAGGCGAAAAGAACCCCGGCGAGGGGAGUGAAAAAGAACCUGAAACCGUGUACGUACAAGCAGUGGGAGCACCUUCGGGUGUGACUGCGUACCUUUUGUAUAAUGGGUCAGCGACUUAUAUUCUGUAGCAAGGUUAACCGUAUAGGGGAGCCGCAGGGAAACCGAGUCUUAACUGGGCGUUAAGUUGCAGGGUAUAGACCCGAAACCCGGUGAUCUAGCCAUGGGCAGGUUGAAGGUUGGGUAACACUAACUGGAGGACCGAACCGACUAAUGUUGAAAAAUUAGCGGAUGACUUGUGGCUGGGGGUGAAAGGCCAAUCAAACCGGGAGAUAGCUGGUUCUCCCCGAAAGCUAUUUAGGUAGCGCCUCGUGAACUCAUCUUCGGGGGUAGAGCACUGUUUCGGCUAGGGGGUCAUCCCGACUUACCAACCCGAUGCAAACUACGAAUACCGAAGAAUGUUAUCACGGGAGACACACGGCGGGUGCUAACGUCCGUCGUGAAGAGGGAAACAACCCAGACCGCCAGCUAAGGUCCCAAAGUCACAGUUAAGUGGGAAACGAUGUGGGAAGGCACAGACAGCCAGGAUGUUGGCUUAGAAGCAGCCAUCAUUUAAAGAAAGCGUAAUAGCUCACUGGUCGAGUCGGCCUGCGCGGAAGAUGUAACGGGGCUAAACUGUGCACCGAAGCUGCGGCAGCGACACUAUGUGUUGUUGGGUAGGGGAGCGUUCUGUAAGCCUGCGAAGGUGGCCUGUGAGGGUUGCUGGAGGUAUCAGAAGUGCGAAUGCUGACAUAAGUAACGAUAAUGCGGGUGAAAAGCCCGCACGCCGGAAGACCAAGGGUUCCUGUCCAACGUUAAUCGGGGCAGGGUGAGUCGACCCCUAAGGCGAGGCCGAAAGGCGUAGUCGAUGGGAAACAGGUUAAUAUUCCUGUACUUGGUGUUACUGCGAAGGGGGGACGGAGAAGGCUAUGUUAGCCGGGCGACGGUUGUCCCGGUUUAAGCAUGUAGGCGGAGGUUCCAGGUAAAUCCGGUACCUUUUUAACGCUGAGGUGUGAUGACGAGGCACUACGGUGCUGAAGUAACAAAUGCCCUGCUUCCAGGAAAAGCCUCUAAGCAUCAGGUAACAUUGAAUCGUACCCCAAACCGACACAGGUGGUCAGGUAGAGAAUACCAAGGCGCUUGAGAGAACUCGGGUGAAGGAACUAGGCAAAAUGGUGCCGUAACUUCGGGAGAAGGCACGCUGAUAUGUAGGUGAAGCCCCUGCGGGUGGAGCUGAAAUCAGUCGAAGAUACCAGCUGGCUGCAACUGUUUAUUAAAAACACAGCACUGUGCAAACACGAAAGUGGACGUAUACGGUGUGACGCCUGCCCGGUGCCGGAAGGUUAAUUGAUGGGGUUAUCCGUAAGGAGAAGCUCUUGAUCGAAGCCCCGGUAAACGGCGGCCGUAACUAUAACGGUCCUAAGGUAGCGAAAUUCCUUGUCGGGUAAGUUCCGACCUGCACGAAUGGCGUAAUGAUGGCCAGGCUGUCUCCACCCGAGACUCAGUGAAAUUGAACUCGCUGUGAAGAUGCAGUGUACCCGCGGCAAGACGGAAAGACCCCGUGAACCUUUACUAUAGCUUGACACUGAACAUUGAGCCUUGAUGUGUAGGAUAGGUGGGAGGCUUUGAAGCGUGGACGCCAGUCUGCGUGGAGCCAACCUUGAAAUACCACCCUUUAAUGUUUGAUGUUCUAACGUUGGCCCCUUAUCGGGGUUGCGGACAGUGUCUGGUGGGUAGUUUGACUGGGGCGGUCUCCUCCCAAAGAGUAACGGAGGAGCACGAAGGUUAGCUAAUCCUGGUCGGACAUCAGGAGGUUAGUGCAAUGGCAUAAGCUAGCUUGACUGCGAGCGUGACGGCGCGAGCAGGUGCGAAAGCAGGUCAUAGUGAUCCGGUGGUUCUGAAUGGAAGGGCCAUCGCUCAACGGAUAAAAGGUACUCCGGGGAUAACAGGCUGAUACCGCCCAAGAGUUCAUAUCGACGGCGGUGUUUGGCACCUCGAUGUCGGCUCAUCACAUCCUGGGGCUGAAGUAGGUCCCAAGGGUAUGGCUGUUCGCCAUUUAAAGUGGUACGCGAGCUGGGUUUAGAACGUCGUGAGACAGUUCGGUCCCUAUCUGCCGUGGGCGCUGGAGAAUUGAGGGGGGCUGCUCCUAGUACGAGAGGACCGGAGUGGACGCAUCACUGGUGUUCGGGUUGUCAUGCCAAUGGCAUUGCCCGGUAGCUAAAUGCGGAAGAGAUAAGUGCUGAAAGCAUCUAAGCACGAAACUUGCCCCGAGAUGAGUUCUCCCUGAGACUUUAAGUCUCCUGAAGGAACGUUAAAGACGAUGACGUUGAUAGGUCGGGUGUGUAAGCGUAGCGAUACGUUGAGCUAACCGAUACUAAUGAACCGUGAGGCUUAACC